This 767-nucleotide long non-coding RNA is filed under the name Homo sapiens (human). RNAcentral describes it as "HSALNT0126948". Lineage: Eukaryota; Metazoa; Chordata; Mammalia; Primates; Hominidae. The record is from RNAcentral.
CUGGUUCGCAGGCCUGGAGGCACAUUAGAAUCACCUGAGGGGGCUUUUAAAUCCACCCAUGCCUGGGACCCACCCAGAAAUCUCCAGGAGUGCAGCUGAGGUAGGGAAGUUUUUAAAAACUCUUCAGGUGACUGUGAAGCAGAGAGCAUAUCACUGCUCGAGCGUUUCAGAACCAGAAACAAAUAAGUGACACAAGUGAAGAGUGAAACUACAACAUUUCGGAAUCAAAUUGUCAUGUUGGGAGUAGUCCUAUGGAGAGGCCCCGGUGGCAAGAAACUGAGGUCUCCAGCUCUCAGCAAGAACCCGAGGCCUGCUAACACCCACGUGAGUGAGCUCAGACUCAGGUGUGCUCUGAAACCUGCUGCCAGGUGAGUGCAGUUCUUCCCACAGGGAGCCCUGAGAUGACCGCCGCCUCCGGGGAGACCUUGAAUCAGAACCGCCCAGCUAAGCUACUCCUGCAUUUCUGACCCACAGCACAGGUGAGAUAGUAAACGUGUUGCUUUAAGUGGCUUCUUUUUGGGGGUAAUUCAUCAGUCACGCUCGGUAACCAGUACCGAUGCCAUCUACACGUCGUCUUCUCUCCAUCUUCCCCAGAGCUUUCCUCUAUGUGGCCUUCAUGACCAGGCAGAGAUGGCAAAACAGUGGCCGGGAACUCCAGACUCAUGGCCUAGCUCCCUCCAAUAGUGGCUUUCUCCUUUGCAGUAGAUAAGGAAAAAUUCCUGGGAUCGAGUCUCAUGAAACUGACUUGGGUUGCUUUCUGCUGGAGC